Molecule: long non-coding RNA, 1191 nt
Organism: Cyprinus carpio (common carp)
Lineage: Eukaryota; Metazoa; Chordata; Actinopteri; Cypriniformes; Cyprinidae
Source: Ensembl
GGGAAUUCCCAGUUUUGAUCCAGAUUGAAUCAAACUGGUCUGUUUUGUUUGCUAAGAAAGAACUCUCAUUGUUUAAGCCUUGAGUUCAGAGAAAUGUUUUUACCAAUGUAUGGACCUCUUGCUUAUUUAUUUAGAUAAAAUAUAUAUAUAUUACAUAUACAACAAUUAUUUAAUAAAAUAUGUAUUUAUUGGUUUAUUUAAAUAUUAUUAAUAAUUGUUUCAUAACUGUAUAUUUGGGUUUUAUUAACAUAUUUAGGAGUUUACACGUACAUUUAUUCUCCAGCUUCAAACUUACAGCAUAUCAAACUUGUAAAUGUUACAAUAUUAAAUAUAGAAAGCCAAUGGGACUGUGAUGCCCACCCACGUUAACACCUCCAUCAAUUAUGUAAAAGAAACAUUAAUGAGGAAGGGCCAUACAUCUUCUAUAGCUGAUGUGCUUCAUAUAUAGGCCACAAACUACACAACAGAUCCUCGUCAUCGCUUCAGCUGUUCUCAGAGAUGCAGCGAGAGCCAAGAACCCCAAUUAACCUCUCUCUCUCUCUCUCUCUCUCUCUCUAACAGUUGGGAUCCAUGCUGCUGCUGAUAUGGAUAUAUGAAAUACACCCAAAACCCACGGAUGUUAAGUUUAUAAAUGUGACUAUAAAUCCAGAGUGCCCAAAUGCAAAACGCAACUUUUGGAAAGUGGAUGAUAGUAAAAUCACCCCAAAGAUACUGCGGCGACACUUCAGCCGUUUGCUCGAUGUUUUUCCUGACUUUUAUGAAACCAUGGAAAUUUUCUCUGUGAGGAAUGCGACCUGCAAACGUUUCGAGGCAGAAAAGAAGUUUACCAGCCCGUUUUCCAUAGAGUCACUUCUGCAGCGGGAGAGCAGGGCCCCCGUGAGGCACAGACCGGUACUUUGUGCAACAAGGAGCCUGGAAAACGCGUUUGUGGGCCUCGCACAUGGAGACCGCUGUCUGGCGUGCAAGAGGAAACCAUGGGACUGGCCCCAUCAGACUGCAUACGCCGAUUUCAGUGGAUCAUUUUCACACUUUUCUUUUCCUACUUACAGUUUGGGCCAAAUUGACGGAUGCUGUCCCUCCGGUGGACCCUCCAAGAAGAUGUGCUCAGUCUCUGAACUGUCCUAUAAUUGUACAGCACCUGAGAGCAUUAGGCACUUCAACUCAAAUGUUGUGACCUGGGCCUAUAUGUAA